GACGACGUCAAGUCAUCAUGGCCCUUACGAGUAGGGCUACACACGUGCUACAAUGGCAUAUACAGAGGGCAGCGAGGCCGCGAGGUGGAGCGAAUCCCAGAAAGUAUGUCGUAGUCCGGAUUGGAGUCUGCAACUCGACUCCAUGAAGUCGGAAUCGCUAGUAAUCGUGAAUCAGAAUGUCACGGUGAAUACGUUCCCGGGCCUUGUACACACCGCCCGUCACACCAUGGGAGUGGGCUGCACCAGAAGUAGAUAGCUUAACCUUCGGGAGGGCGUUUACCACGGUGUGGUUCAUGACUGGGGUGAAGUCGUAACAAGGUAGCCCUAGGGGAACCUGGGGCUGGAUCACCUCCUUAACGA
Molecule: ribosomal RNA, 360 nt
Filed under: Enterovibrio norvegicus
Lineage: Bacteria; Pseudomonadati; Pseudomonadota; Gammaproteobacteria; Vibrionales; Vibrionaceae
Description: bacterial SSU rRNA
Rfam family: Bacterial small subunit ribosomal RNA
Source: RNAcentral